UGGGGAAUAUUGGACAAUGGGGGAAACCCUGAUCCAGCAAUGCCGCGUGAGUGAUGAAGGCCUUCGGGUUGUAAAGCUCUUUUAUCAGGGAAGAUGAUGACGGUACCUGAUGAAUAAGCUCCGGCUAACUUCGUGCCAGCAGCCGCGGUAAUACGAAGGGAGCUAGCGUUGUUCGGAAUUACUGGGCGUAAAGGGCGCGUAGGCGGUACUAUAAGUUAGAUGUGAAAGCCCCGGGCUUAACCUGGGAACUGCAUUUAAUACUGUAGAACUAGAGGACGAGAGAGGAAAGUGGAAUUAUGAGUGUAGAGGUGAAAUUCGUAGAUAUUCAUAAGAACACCAGUGGCGAAGGCGACUUUCUGGCUCGUAUCUGACGCUAAGGCGCGAAAGCGUGGGGAGCAAACA
This 402-nucleotide ribosomal RNA is filed under the name uncultured bacterium. Its description in RNAcentral is "bacterial SSU rRNA". It matches the Rfam family "Bacterial small subunit ribosomal RNA", at positions 355 to 774 of the family's 1533-position model. The record is from RNAcentral.